This 21-nucleotide non-coding RNA is filed under the name Arabidopsis thaliana (thale cress). The record is from RNAcentral. Lineage: Eukaryota; Viridiplantae; Streptophyta; Magnoliopsida; Brassicales; Brassicaceae.
CUAUGGGAGAUGUUUCUUGUU